Molecule: ribosomal RNA, 321 nt
Filed under: uncultured eukaryote
Lineage: Eukaryota
Description: partial 18S ribosomal RNA
Rfam family: Eukaryotic small subunit ribosomal RNA
Source: RNAcentral
CCCUUAGAUGUUCUGGGCCGCACGCGUGCUACACUGAGUAAUUCAAUGGGUAAGGGAACGCUAGAGCAUUACCUAAUCUUGAAAUUUGCUCGUGAUGGGGAUCGACGGUUGCAAUUUUCCGUCGUGAACGAGGAAUACCUUGUAGGCGCAUGUCAUCAUCAUGCGCCGAAUACGUCCCUGCCCUUUGUACACACCGCCCGUCGCUCCUACCGAUUGAGUGAUCCGGUGAGGCUCUGGGACCUGGACGGAAAGAGCGUUUCGCUUGUUCUGUUUGGGAAACUUGGUCGAACCUUAUCAUUUAGAGGAAGGAGAAGUCGUAAC